This 241-nucleotide ribosomal RNA is filed under the name uncultured Polynucleobacter sp. RNAcentral's name for it is "partial 16S ribosomal RNA". It matches the Rfam family "Bacterial small subunit ribosomal RNA", at positions 1 to 247 of the family's 1533-position model. The record is from RNAcentral. Lineage: Bacteria; Pseudomonadati; Pseudomonadota; Betaproteobacteria; Burkholderiales; Burkholderiaceae.
ACUGGAGUUUGAUCCUGGCUCAGAUUGAACGCUGGCGGCAUGCCUUACACAUGCAAGUCGAACGGCAGCACGGGUGCUUGCACCUGGUGGCGAGUGGCGAACGGGUGAGUAAUACAUCGGAACGUACCUUAUCGUGGGGGAUAACGCAGCGAAAGUUGCGCUAAUACCGCAUACGCCCUGAGGGGUAAGCGGGGACCGUAAGGCCGUCGCGCGAUUAGAGCGGCCGAUGUCUGAUUAGCUU